GCAACACAGAAAAACCCUGUCUCGAAAAACAAAACAAAACAAAAAAAGCCUAAGCAUUUCACCACCAGAUGUGGGCCUGGUGGUACAAGCUUUUAAUCCCAGCACUCAGGAGAGAGAGAGAGAGAGAGAGAGAGAGAGAGAGAGAGAGAGAGAGAGCUCUGAGUUUAGUCAGUCAGUUCAGUACAGUCAGUCAGCAUAGGAGAGGCAGUGUAGUGGAGUUGAAUUCAGAUCAUUUCAUCUUGUGCAGCAGAAGCAGUUGAAGCCAGAGAACAAGGAGCCAGAAGAUGUAGAACGUAUUGCCAGAGUUAUUUUGAGGCCAAGCAGAGCAAUCCAGUGAGAAGCUGAGAGAAGACAGAGUGAAUCAGUCAACUUGGAGAACAGUUUGAGCCAGAACAACUGGGUUGAACCAGCCAGCCAAGAGUUCAGAAAUAGCUAGAAAAGGUGCGCUUAUUCAGCAGUAAGCCUCAGUAAGCCUCUGAGAUGACAAUUACAUCAGGUGAAUAAAAGUUAUUUUUCUACAUUAACACUUUACAUGAAAUAUCUCAUUUACCCUUGCAGCAACACUUCAGAGGGGUAAGUAUUGAUGCUCAUCCAAAUCAAAAGUGAGAAAGCUGGGUUAAAACUUCAGCAACUUACUUAGCUAGUAAGGCAUAAUUUGAUACUUUACUGAUAGUAAUAGUAAUAAACUUACACAUUUCUUGUGAGAACCACGCGAUCAGCAUAGUGCUCUGCACACAAUUGAUAUUAAUGAACAAUUUCUAGUAACAGUUACCCUUUUGUAAAAUGUUACUUCUUGUGGGUGGCUGCAUGAUAUGUGUGGUGGGUGCACAUGCCACAGCACACAUUUAGAGGUCCAGAGGACAGCUUGCUGGGGAAGGUUCUCUCUCUUACUAUAAGUUCUGGAAAUUGACUUCAGGUCGCCAAGUUUCUACAGCAAGUGCAUUUACCCUCUAGUAAACUCUCAUAGGAUAGCUUUGAGAAUUUUAAAUCAUUGCCGGGAAUCUAAAAAAAGAAUCAUUAGAAUCUACACCCAUGUCAGAUUUCAGAUGCCAACUAUAUUUUAAAGUUUUUCCUGAAGCACAAAUUAUUAUUUCAUGAUUUUGAAUUUAUCAGGGAGGCUCAAAACUAGAAAGUACUUUGAUUUAAAUAGAUUAUUUUUCUGUAGCCCAUGGCAGGACUUGACUCUGUAACCGAUUCCUGCCACUUCUGGGAUUAUAGGCCUGUCUACGUGUUAUAUCAGGUGGCCUAGCUAUGAUUUUUCUUUUACUUUUUAAUGAUUUUUUUCUGAGUUUGCAGAGAGGAAAGUAUGUGCCUUGUGGUUUUCCUAUUUGUUUACACAUUUAAAAUUAGUUGGAACCUAAAUGUCACUUAGGAUAUUUUUGGCAUAGUAAAAAGAAAUACAAACAAAGAUGGUAAACCUGUAAACAAGGCUGUGGGAAGGAGUAUGGAGGUAGUCUUGUUCUGAGAUUGACUCAGCCCUGCCGCUAAGGACACAGGCUCCUGUCACUUCCUGGGGAUCCCAGCCUUAGUGUGGCUGCUGAAUCCUCAGGCUUCACCCUCCAUCGCUGCAAGAUAGCAGCUGCACAGGAAGGCAAUUCCAUCAUGCCCCACUUUUCCUGAUAGUACAUCCCCUAAGGCCACAUGAGAACUAGCCCACUUGACGAGAGUUGCUUCACUAUCCCGGUGUAAGUUAUUCAUUUUACUAAGAAAUUGAGACUAUCACAAUUGGCUUACAUCAAUCUACACUGAAAUGUUGGGGGCUGGAGAGGAUCUGUCCCUCCUUUGGAGAGGGUGCUCAAGGGCAGACAGGUUUAGAUGUUUGUUUUCAAAAAAGCCGUUUGAGAUAAAGUUUUAACUUCGCAAUUUUCCUUAGAGAAAUUAUACAUAGAAUCAAUGCUUAAUUAAAAAGUGAUUCCCCCCCCCCCCAAGUUCAUGCAUGAUGCGUAAUUUCUGGUGGAACCCAUUCACUUUAUUACAUGUAAGGGCAUUGCUGUUAGCAGUGAGGUUAAGAGAGAAACAGGACCAUGCAAGCUGUGCAAGGAAUAUUUCAGUAUUAGCUAAGAGGGCAUGCAGUUGAAACAUCUUAAGCAACUGGGAUAUUUAAUAUUUAUCUAAAUUAAAAACUUUCCAGAACCUAUUAGCUGAUUUCCAUAAAAUUUCACUAGCUGGACAAAGCCACACUGUUAUCUUUGGGUAGGAGAGAGACUGUGAAACUAUGUAACAAAGCUUCAGGAUGUGCAAACACGUUGUCCCCAAACAUAAUGGAGUCUCUUUAUAGGGCGAAACGUACACCUUGUGUUACAUAGUCUGCCUUUUGGAGUUAAUUCUCUGCCUGGAAAAGCAACAGAAAAUCAAGAGUGUUUCUCAUACUGUAGUCUUUGCAGUCCCUAUGAAAUCAUGAAGUAUUUAUGCAAAUUGCUUGAGUCUCCAUGGCCCAGAAGCAGGCUAAAGUGCAGAAGAGGUGGAUCUCAAACACAGCUUGUCAAAAUACACCAUGAUGGAGAGCAGUUGCCCUACAAACUGCCAGGUACUCGGAGUCUGAUACAUCGGAGGUGGCUUUGCUGCUCGGCAGCUGCCUCUGCCCCUAACUGUUAGUAUAGCCAAAUAAUUGCUGGUUUUAUUUCUUUCAACACUUAAAAAAAAUCUUCCCCAAAUGAGUUUUUAACUGAUGCCUUAUUAUAUUGCUAUUUAUGCCCCAAAUAUUCUUCACUGAUCCUACUGUUUUCUUCAGAUGCUGACAUGCCCAAGAAUGGGGAGGACUUUCUGUGUAGCUGAGGGUUUUGUUCUCCUACAGGAGGUUGGCUGAAGCACUGGAGGGAAGAUGAAGCUGAGUCCUGACCUCGCCAUGUGGUCUGCAGCUGAUUCAUCUGGACCUUGGCCUGGUCACUUUACUGUCUAUUGCUCCAUUUCUAUACCUGUAAAAUAGAAGUGUAGGAGAGGAUCCUCUAUGACGUCUCCUAGCUCUGUAGUUUUAUGACUGUAAUGUAUCAAAUGCCCGUAGCUGUCUAUCAUAGCUGAAGUGGAUUAGGGUUAAUAUUUACCCUAGAAAUUAAGUUUAUCACCUCAUUUUUUAGAAUGAAAUUUAAAAGAUAUAAAUUAUACAUUUACAAAAAUACACAGGACUGGGCUGGCAUGCAUGGGUCCCUGGAUUAAAGUCCCCCUUCCCACACCAACCAUCUAUAUAUGUGUGUGUUUGUAUGUAUACAGUAGUAUAAAAAUAAUAAGCUGAAAAGGUACAUAUUAAUAUGAAGUACAGUUUUUAUGUUUGUUUUUUUUUUUACAAACAUACAACAUGAAUAACACAACUGGAAUAAUAUUACAUAUAGAAGGCUCUUUGCUUGUCUGGUUUUUAAGUUCAAGCAGAUUUUAUAUUAUUAUUAUUAUCAUUAUCAUGUAUGUGCAUGCAGGCAGAGGUCAGAGGGCAAGUUGUAGGAGUUGGUUCAUUUCCUCCAGUACUUACCUUAGACCUCGGGGCUUUCACAGCAGACAUUCACUACAUGGGUCACCUGUCUGUGCUUUUGAGACCUAGUCUUCCUACACAGACUAGGCUGCCUCCAAUGUGUGACCUGCUUGCAUCCCUGAAUCCUAAGUUGUGAGGUUUGUGACACUGUGUCUGUUUCCAAGGUACUUUUGAAUCAAUCCUUGGUUCCACUGUGAACACUCCCCCUGCUCCUUCAUUUUUAGAAGGGAGUAUUUUCCUUCCCUGACAAUUUUUUUUAAUACUGUUAAAUUAAAAACUACAAGUCAUAAGCCAUGGCAUAAAUAAACUGUUAUAGCUACCAGCUCUCACAGGGUGUGGAAUUGUGCUGGCCAGUCCAGAAACACUUAAAACAUUUUAAAAAAUGUGUGUUUGUGUGUGUGUGUGUGUCUGUCUGUCUGUCUGUCUGACUGAAUGUGUGUGGUGAAAGUACAGCCACCCAUGGACACCAGAGAGGGAAUCAGAUCCCUUGAAGCUCAAGUAAUUGUGAGCUGCCUGACUGGAGUGCUCUUUAGUGUGGAGCCAUUUCUCCAGUCUCUCUUUAACACUCCCUUAACAUAACCACCCCCCUGUUGCUGAAAUUGGCUGGCCUCAGGACUUGAACUGUUCUUGCAUUUUCUUUGCAUUUUGUCAUCUACUGUAUGUCCCAAGGCAUUAGCACGUGUUACCUUAAAACCUCUGUUAAUUGAUUUUAUUAUUUUAUCAUAUAAAGACAUAAACAUGCAACUA
This is a long non-coding RNA of Mus musculus (house mouse), 4207 nucleotides long. RefSeq annotates it as predicted gene 28644. The transcript has 2 exons. The record is from RefSeq and is a predicted model, not a curated record. Lineage: Eukaryota; Metazoa; Chordata; Mammalia; Rodentia; Muridae.